Molecule: ribosomal RNA, 203 nt
Filed under: Escherichia coli
Lineage: Bacteria; Pseudomonadati; Pseudomonadota; Gammaproteobacteria; Enterobacterales; Enterobacteriaceae
Description: partial 23S ribosomal RNA
Rfam family: Bacterial large subunit ribosomal RNA
Source: RNAcentral
GGGUUGUGAGGUUAAGCGACUAAGCGUACACGGUGGAUGCCCUGGCAGUCAGAGGCGAUGAAGGACGUGCUAAUCUGCGAUAAGCGUCGGUAAGGUGAUAUGAACCGUUAUAACCGGCGAUUUCCGAAUGGGGAAACCCAGUGUGUUUCGACACACUAUCAUUAACUGAAUCCAUAGGUUAAUGAGGCGAACCGGGGGAACUG